AGUUUAUGUUAAAACUAUUUAAAAAAACAAAAUUAAUAGAAAAUAGUGACUGAAAAUUAUGUUGUUCUUACUGGUAAUUUUGAAGCUGUAAAGCAUUUUGAGGAUUUGAAUCUCUAAUUUAAAUAAGUCCACCAACAUUUGUUAAAAUAUAUAUUGCUUUAUAAAAUUAGAAAUCUUACCAAAAUAUCAAAAUUUUAAAUUUAUUUUUUAAAAGCCUAUUAGUAGAUCAAAUGAUCACAGUUAUUAACAUCUCCAUACCAAUAGUUCUCUUGAUUUCUAAGACAUAUGUAAUUAAAGAAUUUGCCCCAAAACAUUAAAUGUUAGACUGUCAGAGCACUUUCGGCAUAUUAAUGAAUCACUCCUAUUAAUAAUUCAGAGGUUUUUCUUCUACUUUAUUAAAUGUAAAAAGUGUAUAUAUAUAUGAUGCAGAUAAAAAUAAUUGACUCAAAAGAGUAGUCUUUUAGAAUCAAUUUAUGCUUUUAUACGGAUACAUAAAUUUUACAGUCUUAAAUGUUUAAAAAAUAUGGUACCUACAUAUUAGUUAUAUAUUAGAUCUUAUGAUCUCUAAAUGCUUAUAUUCUUCCAAGGAGACUGCCAUCUCUUUUCAGUUAUUCUAAGUAUUGAAAAAAAGAACUGCUUUAUAUUUUAUAUUUCCACUCAUUGUCUCUAAUAUUGCUUACAACUUUCCAAUUCUCAGAGAAGUUUAAGCCAAAACCAUAAUACAGUGGCUAGACAUUAUCAUUUACUACUCUUAGUUACUACUCUUAUCUAAUAUGGUCAUAUAUUCUAUAAAGUCUGCUAGAGAAAGCACUCUUACUUUCUCACAAAUGGAAGUACAAACAGAAAAUCUUCCAUUAGUUUUUGUGUAUUCAAAAGAGUUAACAUAUAUUUUAUUGUAACUUUUCCAUUGCUUACUGUUUAUUCAUUUUUUUAAAAGUUCACCAAAUGGGAUACUUCAAGCAAAAGUGAAAAGCCAUUCCAUUUUUGCAUAAAUUGCUUAUUUUCUUCAGAGUCUCUGAAAGUUCCUUUGAGAAAGCAAAAGGAAUCCCUUUCCUAAUUUACAACAUUGGUCAUUCUACCAUUAAAUGAAAUAGGUAUCUAUAGUUUAAUAUAAAGAAUAGCAACAAAAAAAUCAUGAUUUAUCUAGUCAAAGCUAUUUAUCUUCUGGGGAGUAGAUAUAAUAAACAAAUAGAUAAACAAAAUUAAAGGAAGUCAUGUCUGUUUGUUGGUCUCAAACCAUAUAAUUCCUAAUUUUAAAAAUAGAUAUUAUAUAUAUAUAUACAUAUAUACCAAUUUACUUUAAAUAUAUAUUUAUCCAUAAGUCCAUUCAUUCAUUAACUAAUGUUUAUUGAAUACUAUCAUGUGCCUCUGUCCUGUUCUCAACACAGAGGACACAAGGUAAUCAAAACAAGCCAAAGCCCCUGUCUCACGGAAUUAACCUUCUAGCAGUAAAGAUAUACAAUAAAGAAGUAGUGAUAAGCGCCAUGCUGAUAAUUAAUAAUGUUACAUAGCAUGACUGUACCUUCUUUAUAUUAAGCAGUAAGGGGAAUCUUCUCUGAGGAUGUGCUAUUCAAACUGAUACCUGAAAAGCAUGAAGGAACCAGUCAUUAGAAAACAGAGCGAAAAUUUAAUGUGUAAGAGGGAAAAUUUAAUGUGUAAGAGUCUGGAGGGUUUGAGAGUGAAAAGAAUGGUGUGCUUGGUUCACAGUUGAUUAUCCAAAGAGAGGCAAAAAUAAGAUGGGAGUCCAAGAACAUUUAUGAAACUAUUGCAAUAGCUUGAUCAAAAGAAAAAAAAAAACUUCUGUUAAAGUGGAAGUAGUGAUGGUGGAAAGUAGCAGAUGGUGUUGGGGAUGUUUGAAGACAGGGCUUAUAAUGUAUUAGGACCGAGGAUGAAGAAAGAAAAAUCUAAGAUAAAUUCUAUCUUUGGAAAAUAAAAACAUAGUGCAGGAGAAGCAGGUUUGGAGGGAAAAAAAAAUCAAGAGUUUGGUUUUGGCCAUUUAAUGCCUGAGAUGCCUUUUAGAUAUUCAAAUGGAUAUAUCAAGCAGACAGAGGCAUAUAAGAGUUCCAAGGAGCAGUCAGGGCUAGACAUCAAGAUUUAGAAGUCAUCAAAAUAUACAUGAUAUUUAAGUAUUUUUAAAUCACUUAGGAAUGCUCUGUAAGAGAGAGAAGUAGGUCUCUCUUGAGAUCCAGGGUAUUCCAAAUAGAAGUUAGUCAGAGAAUUAGAAGCCAGCAGAUGACCCUAAAAUUAUCAAGUAAGGAAGAGAAAGAAAAAAACAACAACAAUUGGUCAUAUGGAUUAAAUGCUUAUAGAAGCUAAAAUUAAAAUGAAGAAAUGGCCAUUGGUCUUGGCAACAUGGAAGUUACUGAUGACUUUGAUAUGGCAGUCUCCUAAGUAGUGACGUCAAAGCAUGAUUGAAUGGAUUAAAAAGAUACUUUAGGAAAGGAGGUGGAGUCAGUCUUAUAAAAUAACUGUUUCAAGAAGUUUUACUCUAAGAGAGCAAGAGAAAUAGGGCAGAGCAAGGAAAAUAACUAAGUAGCUAGAAGUAGAUGUGGUGUUAAGAGAGGAUGUGUAUGUGUGCUUGUGUGUGUCUGAAGGAUGCUAGAGCUUAUUUACUAACUAACAUGAGCAAUUUUCACUGUGGUGCAGUGGGUUAAUGAUCCAGCUUGUCUCUGUACACCGGUUCAAUCCCCUGGCCUGGUGCCGUGUCAUCCAGCGUUGCUGCAGCUGUGGUGUACGUCACAGCUCUGGCUUGCAUUCAAUCCCAGAUUUGACCUCUGGCCUUGGGAACUUCCAUACAUCAUGUGGAUGCCCAAAAUAAAAAUAAAUUUUUAAAAAAUUACUAAUUUGAAUGAUCUGGUAGAAAGGGGAAAACUAAUUAUGCCAGAGAGAAUUACUUAAAAGGACUUGAGAGGUAGAAGGGUUAGGAUUCACAGCAUAAGGAAAGAAGUUAGUCUUGGAUAGCAGACACUCAGAACUAUAAUGGGAGGGAAGGCAGAGUGUGUAAUAUGCAAAUAGGUUGGUAGAUUUGUGGUAGCAAGGUAAGGAUGUCGCUAAAUGAAUAGUUUUAUUUUACCAAGAGGAGAUAAAAGUCAAUAUGGGGAGUGGGAAGCAAGUAUAGAGUGGAAGGAGAUGUGUAAGUAGUUAGAAAGGGGAACACACACACACACACACACAUAUACAUGUAUAUAUACGUAAACAUAGUCUAUGGGUAUUUGUGUGUAUGUAAUACACCACAAGAAAAAAGACUAUUAUAUAAAAUAUUUUAAAGCCAUUUUUGUUAAAUAUUUUUGAGAUAUCUUAUUUGGAAGACCUGAAACUGAAUUCCGAGUUUUCCAAUGAUGCUAAUAACAAGUCCUCUUUUCUGUAAUUCGAGAGUAAGUGAGGAUUUCUCAGUGUCAUUGACACUUCCCAUGUUGUUACUUUUGCUUAUUGCAGUGAAAAAGACAGAAACAUCUUGUAGCUAUUCUAAUUCAAAGCUUAUGAAAAUCAAAUUAGCUUAAUCCAAAAAGAUGUAUAUUGCAUACUCAAGCUGUCAGUUUUCUCAAAACAUUACUUUGAGAGGGUUUGAGCCCUCAUCUGAUUUUUUUUUAAAGGCAAUUAGGCUCCGGUAUUUUUCUCAUAUGAAAUACAUGUCAUUUAGGUGUAACACAUGAGUGAUAUGAUUAUUCAUUGUGCCUUCCCCAUUCUAUAGGAAGGAUGUGAUAUUUUAAUUGUGUUCAGAGCUUUAUUUCUGGACAGGCUGUAUGUAAUUUGGUGUGUUGGAAUUUACAGGUGCAUAAAAAAUAUUCUUUGGAUUUGAUGUAAAAUUAGAUUUUGAAUAAUGGAACAAGAUGCUCUCCAUUUUUUGCUGUUUGAGCAUAGCCAAAAAUAUAAAGAUACAUGCAUAUGUAUAAAUAUGUGUUUGAUUAAUCACUUAAUACAUAAAUGGCCAUGUCAUUAAAUGGUAGAUUUGACAGUUACAGUGUGUUCAAAAUUUAAAAAUAGUUAUAAAAAUCUUUGUAGCAAAAAUCCUUAAAAGUUUAUUUAUUAAAUGUUAAAUAGUACAUUUAAAUACCUAGAAAACAUCUGUCUAGGAUGAGAUAUGUAAUCCACCAUAGAGCAAUAUUUGACUAAUGAAAAACUGCAGCUGAAAACAUUUUUCCUUCUAUUAAUAUAUGUCUUUGUAACCUGUCAGUUAUUUAUCAUUAUUUAUGGAUUUAGCACUGUACCCAUCUACUCUUGCAAAAAGGGGGAAAGAUCUGUUUGUGAGAAUAAGGAAGUGCAGCACUGUAUUACUUUUUUCUCUUUGGUAUUACAUCACUAUUUAGAGCUUCAGCAUAUGCCUUCCACUCAGGUUCCUACACGGCUUAUGUUCUUUUCUGGUUGUAUCACAACACAGUAGAAAAAAAACACAGUAAAAGGGUGUUAACAAUAAGACUGCAAUCCUACCUAUUAUCUACUUUACUAUGACAGUGAAGUAGCAUAAACUUAACUAAAGGUGGUAUUGUUUUCAUUUUAUAAAAAUCUACUGUAAAAUUAUGAUGUUCCAUGUAAAUUUUCAUGUGCUGGCAUGCUUACAAGUUAAUAGUGUUAUAGAAUGCUCAGCUCUCAAUGAGGGAUUCUUUGUGGUGAAUUGCAUUACAUAUGUCAUCUAUCUAUUUGCUAAAGAAUAUGGUGUUUAGCAAAACUACCUGCUGAGCAACAUAAUAAGAUUUUUGUACAAAGUACAAAUUACUAAUUAUUGUAUUUUAUUUUUCUAUGAUUUCCUAAGAAGCAUUAUCAGGGUCUUACAGAGGAGUAGGCCCGUUUAUUAAAAUAUUAUUAGCAAAUAAAAGUUAAAGUUCUGG
Molecule: long non-coding RNA, 4826 nt
Filed under: Sus scrofa (pig)
Lineage: Eukaryota; Metazoa; Chordata; Mammalia; Artiodactyla; Suidae
Description: lncRNA (ENSSSCG00000057561.1)
Source: RNAcentral